Caenorhabditis japonica is the source of this 46-nucleotide non-coding RNA. The record is from Rfam. Lineage: Eukaryota; Metazoa; Nematoda; Chromadorea; Rhabditida; Rhabditidae.
CCAACGGCCCUCUUUAGGGCCACAUAUACUAUAUCCACUGCUCUUU